This is a long non-coding RNA of Haliotis rubra (blacklip abalone), 1398 nucleotides long. RefSeq lists it as uncharacterized. The transcript has 3 exons. Lineage: Eukaryota; Metazoa; Mollusca; Gastropoda; Lepetellida; Haliotidae. The record is from RefSeq and is a predicted model, not a curated record.
UCAAGGUACAGUACGGCGUCUCAAACAAGUCAGCCUGAACGCUUGAUCCAUGAAGUCACCCUUGAUCACCACCAGAGACUGCAAGCUACUUUAAGACUCAGGGAUUGGAAUAUAAAUCAACAAAACACAAUGAAGGUAACUCACUGAAGAGAAGAUGUGUGGCAAGGGUGGUUGUUUUCUGAUGGACACGGUACUACUAAUGCUUUCAAGAUAUUCUCUUCCUGGAUCGAGAAACACCCCCUUCUAUAUCUGAGGCUCUGACUCUACAUGGAAUGAAUACCCCAGACAGUGGAGAACAGAGAGUGCAAUGUUCUGGGAGACAGAGCCUUAACAACAGACAGGUGUGCGCUGUGUAGCCCACUGGCCUGCGUGACUAACUGAUCUGCCAGGCACGUGUACCCGCUUGCUCACACACGUAAUACAGGAUUAUGGAUGCUGACAGAGAUGGAAUAAGGUGGUGUGUACAGAUAAAUAUCAUAUGUGGCCACUGCUAGUUAUUAGCCUGUAAUGUGGAGAGGCUCUGCAACUUGUUGGAGAGAAGAUCAAGUGUUCGGUGCUCUCUUCACCUCCUUAUACCGGCAAGUGAUCAUCAAACUACAGUCAAACAUCAGCAAAGGAGUGAGUGAGUGAGUGAGUGAGUGAGUGAGUGAGUGAGUGAGUGAGUGAGUGCGAGCGAGCAAGCAAGCUAACCAUAGCCCCUGACCAACAGGUCCUUCCUAUUCAGUUUUCUUAUUCAGAUUAUCCCUAUCAGAAGUUAAGAAUUGUAUUAACCAACACCACCUUCCUAUUCAGUUUUCCCAUUCCCUGUGUAUAUCAGCCCUACACCACCAGCAAGUGAUACCACACUUCUCCCUACAUCCAGCUCUAACCCAGAACCGUGGUACCACCAGCAGGCUGAUAUGGUGUCCUGUAGUACAGGAAUUGGCAACCCUCACCACCACAGUCUUGGCUGGAUUAUACAUCGGUUGCAGCAUCCCACAUGGGACAUGCGUGCAUCACAACGUUACCUUGUGCAAAAUGUCAGGUCAGGUCUCACUACGUCAAAUCGGAGCACAGAGCAGCACAGAGCAGUCAGAAACGUACCACCUGGCAUUGCAGUGUUCAAAAAAACAUCCUCUUCCUAUCCAAUCUCUUGGGUCAGUUUGAAACAGUGAUGGUAGUUUUUAUGUCUGGAUAUUCGUAUACAGGUGCUGAUAAUGCUUGACUUUGACCAUUGUAGGACCCUCUUGUUGCAUGGGAGAUGUGUGGUUACAUGCAGAUGCUGUUAUCAUGAAUAUCAUAUGUUCAUAUGGUGUGGGUGUGGAAUACACAGUUGAGAACAUGCAAAGAAUAUGCAAAUUAGAGAUAUUAAAAUAUUGAAAUAUGUUAUUGAUAAACACAUAAAGUAAGUGUCUUCUU